GCCGCCGUAGCUCAAUUGGCAGAGCACCGGUUUUGUAAACCGGUGGUUGUCGGUUCGACUCCGACCGGCGGCU
RNAcentral lists this transfer RNA (73 nucleotides) under Tepidisphaera mucosa. Its description in RNAcentral is "tRNA-Thr". It matches the Rfam family "tRNA". From Rfam's summary of the family: Transfer RNA (tRNA) molecules are approximately 80 nucleotides in length. Their secondary structure includes four short double-helical elements and three loops (D, anti-codon, and T loops). Further hydrogen bonds mediate the characteristic L-shaped molecular structure. tRNAs have two regions of fundamental functional importance: the anti-codon, which is responsible for specific mRNA codon recognition, and the 3' end, to which the tRNAs corresponding amino acid is attached (by aminoacyl-tRNA synthetases). tRNAs cope with the degeneracy of the genetic code in two manners: having more than one tRNA (with a specific anti-codon) for a particular amino acid; and 'wobble' base-pairing, i.e. permitting non-standard base-pairing at the 3rd anti-codon position. Lineage: Bacteria; Pseudomonadati; Planctomycetota; Phycisphaerae; Tepidisphaerales; Tepidisphaeraceae. RNAcentral also lists the same sequence under 2 other names. The record is from RNAcentral.